Rhododendron griersonianum is the source of this 72-nucleotide non-coding RNA. Lineage: Eukaryota; Viridiplantae; Streptophyta; Magnoliopsida; Ericales; Ericaceae. The record is from the annotation of a GenBank genome assembly.
GCCUACAUAACUCAGUAGUUAGAGUACUGUUGCUUUUAACGGGAGUCAUUGGUUCAAAUCCAAUAGUAGGUA